GACAGAGGGUGCAAUCGUUGUUCGGAAUUACUGGGCGUAAAGCGCGUGUAGGCGGCCCUGCAAGUCGGGUGUGAAAUCCCACGGCUCAACCGUGGAAGUGCAUUCGAAACUGCAGGGCUAGAGUCCUGGAGAGGAAGGUGGAAUGCUUGGUGUAGAGGUGAAAUUCGUAGAUAUCAAGCGGAACACCGGUGGCGAAGGCGGCCUUCUGGACAGUGACUGACGCUGAGACGCGAAAGCGUGGGGAGCAAACAGG
This 253-nucleotide ribosomal RNA is filed under the name uncultured bacterium. RNAcentral's name for it is "partial 16S ribosomal RNA". It matches the Rfam family "Bacterial small subunit ribosomal RNA", at positions 524 to 776 of the family's 1533-position model. The record is from RNAcentral.